Molecule: ribosomal RNA, 253 nt
Filed under: uncultured bacterium
Lineage: Bacteria
Description: partial 16S ribosomal RNA
Rfam family: Bacterial small subunit ribosomal RNA
Source: RNAcentral
UACGGAGGAUGCAAGCGUUAUCCGGAAUGAUUGGGCGUAAAGCGUCCGCAGGUGGCAGUUCAAGUCUGCUGUUAAAGACCGGGGCUUAACUUCGGAAAGGCAGUGGAAACUGAACAGCUAGAGUAUGGUAGGGGCAGAGGGAAUUCCUGGUGUAGCGGUGAAAUGCGUAGAGAUCAGGAGGAACACCGGUGGCGAAGGCGGGUCUCUGGGCCGAUACUGACGCUGAGGAGCGAAAGCGUGGGGAGCGAACAGG